AUGAACGCUGGCGGCGUGCCUAAUACAUGCAAGUCGCGCGAACAGACGAGGAGCUUGCUCCUCUGACGUUAGCGGCGGACGGGUGAGUAACACGUGGAUAACCUACCUAUAAGACUGGGAUAACUUCGGGAAACCGGAGCUAAUACCGGAUAAUAUAUUGAACCGCAUGGUUCAAUAGUGAAAGACGGUUUUGCUGUCACUUAUAGAUGGAUCCGCGCCGCAUUAGCUAGUUGGUAAGGUAACGGCUUACCAAGGCAACGAUGCGUAGCCGACCUGAGAGGGUGAUCGGCCACACUGGAACUGAGACACGGUCCAGACUCCUACGGGAGGCAGCAGUAGGGAAUCUUCCGCAAAGGGCGAAAGCCUGACGGAGCAACGCCGCGUGAGUGAUGAAGGUCUUCGGAUCGUAAAACUCUGUUAUUAGGGAAGAACAAAUGUGUAAGUAACUAUGCACGUCUUGACGGUACCUAAUCAGAAAGCCACGGCUAACUACGUG
Molecule: ribosomal RNA, 496 nt
Filed under: uncultured bacterium
Lineage: Bacteria
Description: partial 16S ribosomal RNA
Rfam family: Bacterial small subunit ribosomal RNA
Source: RNAcentral